RNAcentral lists this small RNA (145 nucleotides) under Salmonella enterica subsp. enterica serovar Typhi. RNAcentral's name for it is "StyR-9". The record is from RNAcentral. Lineage: Bacteria; Pseudomonadati; Pseudomonadota; Gammaproteobacteria; Enterobacterales; Enterobacteriaceae.
CCUUUCAACUCUCACCGAGGCUUUGAUGCUGGAGAAUGUAAUCAUCAGAUAAUCAGUUUUCUGUUCUGCUCAGAACGGACUGAUUAUCGCUGCGCUUAAACUUUACGCGAACAUCUGCGGAUGUUGGCUCGUUUUUGCUCAUGUU